UACUUGGGACUGGCCAGCAGGGAGAACGCUUGCAUGCCCAGGGACCUGGGUGGCAGCAAGUUCGUUCACAGCAGGAGCACUGUCCUCCUCCCCUGUCCCUCCCCCAGUGGGAACACCAUGGCAAGAAGCCCCACAUUGUCCUCCAGCCACAGCUGGGGCCACCGUGGACAGCAGACAGCUGCAUGGACCUUCCUGCGGAAAAUGCCAAUUGUCCUGUGGCUGCUGCUCUUGGACACCUCCCUGCCGACUGCAAGGAGCCAGGCUACAAUUCCUCUGGAAACAGUGAAGCUCUGGGCUGAAACCUUCGGCAGGGAUCUGUACAGCACGGUGACCAGAUACUCGGGUUCUCUCCUGCUGCAGAAGAAGUACAAGGAUGCAGAACCCAGUCUGAA
Molecule: long non-coding RNA, 392 nt
Filed under: Rattus norvegicus (Norway rat)
Lineage: Eukaryota; Metazoa; Chordata; Mammalia; Rodentia; Muridae
Description: long non-coding RNA NONRATT020847
Source: RNAcentral